This 468-nucleotide ribosomal RNA is filed under the name uncultured bacterium. RNAcentral's name for it is "partial 16S ribosomal RNA". It matches the Rfam family "Bacterial small subunit ribosomal RNA", at positions 28 to 507 of the family's 1533-position model. The record is from RNAcentral.
GAUGAACGCUGGCGGCGUGCUUAACACAUGCAAGUCGAACGGUGAAGGCGGAGCUUGCUCUGCUGGAUCAAUGGCGAACGGGUGAGUAACACGUGAGCAAUCUGCCCCUGACUCUGGGAUAAGCGCUGGAAACGGCGUCUAAUACUGGAUACGAGCUGCAAAGGCAUCUUCAGCAGCUGGAAAGAACUUCGGUCAGGGAUGAGCUCGCGGCCUAUCAGCUUGUUGGUGAGGUAACGGCUCACCAAGGCGUCGACGGGUAGCCGGCCUGAGAGGGUGACCGGCCACACUGGGACUGAGACACGGCCCAGACUCCUACGGGAGGCAGCAGUGGGGAAUAUUGCACAAUGGGCGAAAGCCUGAUGCAGCAACGCCGCGUGAGGGACGACGGCCUUCGGGUUGUAAACCUCUUUUAGCAGGGAAGAAGCGAAAGUGACGGUACCUGCAGAAAAAGCGCCGGCUAACUACGUG